Molecule: transfer RNA, 77 nt
Filed under: Caulobacter sp. 17J65-9
Lineage: Bacteria; Pseudomonadati; Pseudomonadota; Alphaproteobacteria; Caulobacterales; Caulobacteraceae
Also listed under: 1 other name
Description: tRNA-Arg
Rfam family: tRNA
About the family: Transfer RNA (tRNA) molecules are approximately 80 nucleotides in length. Their secondary structure includes four short double-helical elements and three loops (D, anti-codon, and T loops).
Source: RNAcentral
GGCUCCGUAGCUCAGCCGGAUAGAGCAGCGCUUUCCUAAAGCGAAGGUCGCAGGUUCGAGUCCUGCCGGGGCCGCCA